RNAcentral lists this unclassified non-coding RNA (200 nucleotides) under Tomentella sp. Its description in RNAcentral is "partial internal transcribed spacer 2". The record is from RNAcentral. Lineage: Eukaryota; Fungi; Basidiomycota; Agaricomycetes; Thelephorales; Thelephoraceae.
UUAAGUUCAGCGGGUAGUCCUACCUGAUUUGAGAUCAGACGUUCAAAAGCUGUCCUCCCCAAGGAGAGACAUCUGUGAGCUCCAGCGAACCUCCAUUGCUGAAGGUUAAUGGCAGGAAACCACAAGCGUAGAUAGUUAUCACACCUGUGACGCCACCAAACACUGGGAAGCUGAUCCAUUUGAGAGGAGCCAACGCUAGG